This 76-nucleotide transfer RNA is filed under the name Candidatus Levybacteria bacterium RIFCSPHIGHO2_01_FULL_40_83. Its description in RNAcentral is "tRNA-Lys". It matches the Rfam family "tRNA". From Rfam's summary of the family: Transfer RNA (tRNA) molecules are approximately 80 nucleotides in length. Their secondary structure includes four short double-helical elements and three loops (D, anti-codon, and T loops). Further hydrogen bonds mediate the characteristic L-shaped molecular structure. tRNAs have two regions of fundamental functional importance: the anti-codon, which is responsible for specific mRNA codon recognition, and the 3' end, to which the tRNAs corresponding amino acid is attached (by aminoacyl-tRNA synthetases). tRNAs cope with the degeneracy of the genetic code in two manners: having more than one tRNA (with a specific anti-codon) for a particular amino acid; and 'wobble' base-pairing, i.e. permitting non-standard base-pairing at the 3rd anti-codon position. The record is from RNAcentral. Lineage: Bacteria; Candidatus Levyibacteriota. RNAcentral also lists the same sequence under 11 other names.
GGGCCGCUAGCUCAACUGGCAGAGCACCUCCCUCUUAAGGAGGUGGUUACAGGUUCGACUCCUGUGCGGCUCACAA